Molecule: ribosomal RNA, 782 nt
Filed under: Fomitiporia hippophaeicola
Lineage: Eukaryota; Fungi; Basidiomycota; Agaricomycetes; Hymenochaetales; Hymenochaetaceae
Description: eukaryotic LSU rRNA
Rfam family: 5.8S ribosomal RNA (bases 319-472)
Source: RNAcentral
UCCGUAGGUGAACCUGCGGAAGGAUCAUUAACGAGUUGGAACGUGGAGGGUUGAUGCUGGUGCAUAUAUUUUUAUGGUAUGCACAUGUGCUUGCCCUUCCACUCUUCAUCCACUCAACCCCCUGUGCACAGUUAGUAAUAGUAUUGUGGUGGUUGUUUGUUCUUCAUUGUUAGAAGCAGGGUAACCUUUUCUGGCAAAGUAGUAAGAAUAAUCUUGGUUCUACCACAACUACCACAACUAUGGACACUUUGACUUAUGUAUACAAACACUUUGCUUGUUCUUGUGAAUGUGUCAUGUUCCUUGUGAGCAGAAAUAUACAACUUUCAACAACGGAUCUCUUGGCUCUCGCAUCGAUGAAGAACGCAGCGAAAUGCGAUAAGUAAUGUGAAUUGCAGAAUUCAGUGAAUCAUCGAAUCUUUGAACGCACCUUGCGCCCCUUGGUAUUCCGAGGGGCAUGCCUGUUUGAGUGUCAUGUAAUUCUCAAUCCUCUUUUUCUUAAUUGAAGGAAGGGGCUUGGACUUGGAGGUAUAUAUAUAUAUAUCUGCUGGUACUGUUUGUAUUGGCUCCUCUCAAAUGCAUUAGCCGGACUGUAGUUUGCAUUGUUUAGUGGUAAUAGUUUUCUAUCUAUAUUCACUGUAGUGCUUACUUAGACUGUCUGCUUCGAAUAGGUCUAGCCUUUAUGUGUUGGACAGGUACUCUGUUACCUUGAACUAUUUGACCCCUUUGACCUCAAAUCRGGUAGGACUACCCGCUGAACUUAAGCAUAUCAAUAAGCGGAGGAA